GAUGAACGCUGGCGGCGUGCUUAACACAUGCAAGUCGAACGGUGAAGCAGAGCUUGCUCUGUGGAUCAGUGGCGAACGGGUGAGUAACACGUGAGCAACCUGCCCCUGACUCUGGGAUAAGCGCUGGAAACGGCGUCUAAUACUGGAUAUGAGCUGCGACCGCAUGGUCAGCAGUUGGAAAGAUUUUUCGGUCUGGGAUGGGCUCACGGCCUAUCGGCUUGUUGGUGAGGUAAUGGCUCACCAAGGCGUCGACGGGUAGCCGGCCUGAGAGGGUGACCGGCCACACUGGGACUGAGACACGGCCCAGACUCCUACGGGAGGCAGCAGUGGGGAAUAUUGCACAAUGGGCGAAAGCCUGAUGCAGCAACGCCGCGUGAGGGAUGACGGCCUUCGGGUUGUAAACCUCUUUUAGCAGGGAAGAAGCGAAAGUGACGGUACCUGCAGAAAAAGCGCCGGCUAACUACGUG
RNAcentral lists this ribosomal RNA (467 nucleotides) under uncultured bacterium. Its description in RNAcentral is "partial 16S ribosomal RNA". It matches the Rfam family "Bacterial small subunit ribosomal RNA", at positions 28 to 507 of the family's 1533-position model. The record is from RNAcentral.